RNAcentral lists this ribosomal RNA (495 nucleotides) under uncultured bacterium. RNAcentral describes it as "partial 16S ribosomal RNA". It matches the Rfam family "Bacterial small subunit ribosomal RNA", at positions 28 to 507 of the family's 1533-position model. The record is from RNAcentral.
GACGAACGCUGGCGGCGUGCCUAAUACAUGCAAGUAGAACGCUGAAGGAGGAGCUUGCUCUUCUGGAUGAGUUGCGAACGGGUGAGUAACGCGUAGGUAACCUGCCUGGUAGCGGGGGAUAACUAUUGGAAACGAUAGCUAAUACCGCAUAACAGUAGAUGUUGCAUGACAUUUGCUUAAAAGGUGCAAUUGCACCACUACCAGAUGGACCUGCGUUGUAUUAGCUAGUUGGUGGGGUAACGGCUCACCAAGGCGACGAUACAUAGCCGACCUGAGAGGGUGAUCGGCCACACUGGGACUGAGACACGGCCCAGACUCCUACGGGAGGCAGCAGUAGGGAAUCUUCGGCAAUGGACGGAAGUCUGACCGAGCAACGCCGCGUGAGUGAAGAAGGUUUUCGGAUCGUAAAGCUCUGUUGUAAGAGAAGAACGAGUGUGAGAGUGGAAAGUUCACACUGUGACGGUAUCUUACCAUAAAGGGACGGCUAACUACGUG